This 1784-nucleotide long non-coding RNA is filed under the name Homo sapiens (human). RNAcentral describes it as "HSALNT0371183". Lineage: Eukaryota; Metazoa; Chordata; Mammalia; Primates; Hominidae. The record is from RNAcentral.
CUCGCUGUGAUAGCUGCCGUCAGAUUCAUGUCAGGGGCUGAAGGCUUUUCUUCCCAGUUCUGCUUCCUCCACCUUUUAUCUUUCACAGGAAUCACCCCCAAUAUCCCUUGUCCUCCUGGCCUCCUCUCAGGGCCUGCUUUUCAGCAACCCAAGAACACUCCAGGGGCAUUUUUCAAGAAGCUGGCCUUCUCAGAACCAAGGGUUCCAGCAAAACUCCCAGGCCUGACUCUCAUUGGUGGAAAUUAGGGUACCCAGCUUGUCCCAAACCCUCCCUGUGAAUCUGAUUGGCUAGGCUUGGGUCAUGUGACCACUCAUGGUCGGGAGCAUCCCUUUUCAACAACAUCCCUUUGUAGUUCACCAAAGGAGAGCUGCCUCCUCCUCUCAGCAGGGAAGGGAACGGCUGCUGUGCAGGCAGAAACUGUGGCUCCGCCUUGGCCCCCUUGGCAGGCUGUGAAUGCAGAAGGCCUGGCUCUUAGCCAGCUUGUCACAUCACCUUUUGGGACUCAGUGUCCGUGUCUAGAAAAUGGGGGCACAUGGCAAAUGGAUUCCUGCCCUGGUUCUUCAUGGGGCCUUUGUGAGCAGCCUGGGAAUAGCCUGCUGAGGCAUGGCUCUGGGAGGGGACUCUGUCACAGCGCUCUUCCUGCUCUGGGUCUGACCAGGCUGGAGGAAGGACUUGCUAACUGUCCCAGCCAUGGCCGUGUGUGUGUGUGUGUUGGGGGGUGGGUAGGGAUGGGGAUGGGGGGAGGUGAGAGGGAAAGGGGUUCACCUCCUUGCACUAGAACCUUCUGCCUUCCUCCAAAGGCCCCCGAUUCAAGGCCAGCUUCCAAUGAGGGAGGCGGAAACAUGUGCUUCACAGAGGCUCCUCUGGAAACCAUGGUGACAGCCCCAAAUGUGAUUUAGUGACACCCUUCUGUUGUCUUAGGUCACCCGCCAGAAAUGCCAAGCUGAGGAAGGAGCAGGGGAAGCUGUUGAAGCAAAUUGUGCAUAAUUAGGACUGUUGUCUCCUGCUAUGGUCUGAAGAUUCAUAUGUGGAAACCUAAUCCCUACCUUGGGGAUAGUAAGAGGUGGGGCCUUUGGGAGCUGACGAGGUCAUGAGGGCCCCACUGUCAUGAUUGGGAUUAGUGCCCUCAUAAAGGAGGCCCAAGGGAGCUUGUUCACCCCUUCCAACAAGCGAAGAUGAUGCAAGAAGGGGCCACAUGUGAUGCAGAGGGUGGGCCCUCAUGGAAUCUGCUGGCACAUUGACCUUGGACUGCCCAGCCUCCAGAACUAUGCUCCAGUGCACACAGAAGCAUCCAUCCCACACUGCAGCCCUUGAGGGCAUCGUCACGGGCAUCAUGUCAAGUGCCUCAGCCACCUACCUUCCCAAGGCAUGUGCUUCAGUCAGCACUUUGUCAGAAUCAACCACAGGUGAUGGUGUGGCUGAUUCGCUGUGAUGGCACUGCAUGCUAUGGGUCACUGGUGUCCCAUUUCACAUGGUCAAAAUCCCAGCAUGGCACUCAACUCCAAAGGCAUGACGAGUCUCCAACUCCCACUCCUGGAGGUCUGUAUGUAUCUAGAACCACUUUCUUAACUAGUUCUGUAUCAGCCAGGGUCCAAUCAGGAGACCCUGACUGAUUCUACAUUGGUAAUUUGAACUGGGACAGUCCAAUAUAUAGAAUUAUUGCUGGGCAUGGUGGCUCACACAUGUAAUCCCAGCACUUUGGGAGGCCAAGGCGGGAGGAUCACUUGAAGCCAGGAGUUUGAGACCAGCUUGGGUCUCUACAAAAAAUAAAAAAACAGUUGGG